Molecule: ribosomal RNA, 459 nt
Filed under: uncultured bacterium
Lineage: Bacteria
Description: partial 16S ribosomal RNA
Rfam family: Bacterial small subunit ribosomal RNA
Source: RNAcentral
CCUACGGGAGGCUGCAGUGAGGAAUAUUGGUCAAUGGGCGCGAGCCUGAACCAGCCAAGUAGCGUGAAUGAUGACUGCCCUACGGGUUGUAAACUUCUUUUAUAAAGGAAUAAAGUGAGGCACGUGUGCCUUUUUGUAUGUACUUUAUGAAUAAGGAUCGGCUAACUCCGUGCCAGCAGCCGCGGUAAUACGGAGGAUCCGAGCGUUAUCCGGAUUGAUUGGGUUGAAAGGGUGCGUGGGCGGAUCGUUAAGUCAGUGGUCAAAUUGAGGGGCUAAACCCCUUCCCGCCAUUGAAACUGGCGUUCUUGAGUGGAGGAGAGGUAUGCGGAAUGCGUGGUGUAGCGGUGAAAUGCAUAGAUAUCACGCAGAACACCGAUUGCGAAGGCAGCAUGCCGGCUUCCGACUGACGCUGAAGCACGAAAGCGUGGGGAUCGAACAGGAUUAGAUACCCGGGUAGUC